UGUGAGUGCCCUGUCUUCCACAGCU
Molecule: non-coding RNA, 25 nt
Filed under: Mus musculus (house mouse)
Lineage: Eukaryota; Metazoa; Chordata; Mammalia; Rodentia; Muridae
Source: RNAcentral